Molecule: ribosomal RNA, 406 nt
Filed under: uncultured bacterium
Lineage: Bacteria
Description: partial 16S ribosomal RNA
Rfam family: Bacterial small subunit ribosomal RNA
Source: RNAcentral
AUUGAACGCUGGCUGCAGGCCUAACACAUGCAAGUCGAACGCGUGGCGGACGGGUGAGUAAUGUCUGUGAAACUGCCCGAUGUAGGGUGAUACCUGCUGGAAACGGUAGCUAAUACCGCCUACCAUCGGAUGUGCCCAGAGGGGAUUAGCUAGUAGGUGGGUUAACGGCUCACCUAGGCGACGAUGCCUAGCUGGUCUGAGAGGAUGACCAGCCACACUGGAACGGAGACACGGUCCAGACUCCUACGGGAGGCAGGAGUGGGGAAUAGUGCACAAUGGGCGCAAGCCUGAUGCAGCCAUGCCGCGUGUAGGAAGAAGGCCUUCGGGUUGUAAAGUACGUUCAGCGAGGAGGCGUUACUCGCAGAAGAAGCACCGGCUAACGCCGUGCCAGCAGCCGCGGUAAUUC